GUUUGGGGCACUGCAACUCAAUACUCUGAACAGCUCACACCUCCUUCCCUGGGAAAGAAGCACAGAUGAAUACGACACAAAGACAAUCCAGAUCUGAUCACCCAGUUGCCAUCUAACAUGGCCUCUUCGCCAGAGCUUGUCUUCCUCAUGCUGCUGUCAAGACGGAAGCUCUGACUGCCCUGGCCACAGCAUCCACACAGAAAGGACACCAGGAAUCCUGAGCACUCUUUGUUAAGGACAGGUUUCCAGUGCUGGCUGUUCUGUUCACAGCUACAUGGCUCUGCAACUCUCUCCUACUGCUGUCACCAGCUGCAAGUUCUAUCUACUUACAGAUACACAACUGAAGUCUAGAUCACUAAAACAGAUCUUUAAAACACAGACAGGCGUUAUGUUGCUGCAGUAUAUACAUUUUUAUGAGAUUUCCAAGGAGAGUGAAAGACACAUGUCAACAUCCAACCCUCAAAGCAGUGCUAGCUCCUGCCCCAGCUACAGCCAGUGGCAUCACGCUGUAACGACAGCUGUGGGACAGCUCUGGGUAACACACAGCAGGGCAGGUCGUGAGACAGAUGCCCAGAAGAGUCUGCGACUUCUCGACUGAGCGCUGUCUGUGCAGGGCACAUAGCUGGAGCUUAACCCCUCGCCAUGCCCGCACCCGCUGCGGUUCCGGGCUCCUGUAGCACGGCACACCUCGCCCGGCCCGCGGCCCCUCGGGGCUUCUCCCACAGCCCCGGGCGCAGCCGGGCUGCACGGAGGGCGGAGGGCCGCGGCUGGGGCCGAGACGGACAGGGCGGGGCUGGGACGGGAGGACUCAAGGAGUGCGGGCGGGCCCCGCCAUGGCCGCGGGAACGCUUCCUGCGCCGCUCCGAGGGUCCAGUCCGUCCGCCGCCCGGAACGGGGGGAAGGGUGGGCAGGAGAAGCGGCGGCCAUGCCCACCGUCUCAACAGACCAGGCCCACAAAGGCAAGCGCCCGCCAGCAGCCACCGGGACCCGCCGGGAGGAGGCCGCCCUUCCCCCCGGCAGGCGGCUGCCGAGGAGGCCCCACACACACAGCGGGCCCGACAGGGCGGCUCCCGCACAACGGACGCUCCGACCGAGGUGAAGGCCAGGGGUCCAUUGCUGAUAUAAGAAGGCCAAAGACCCACAGUUCCUCCUGCUGGGACACUCCUCGUGGCUGGGAGAUGACACCCCAGAGCAGCGGGCACUUAUGGCAGAUGAUUUUCAAUGAAAUCCCUGCCCUGUCAACCAAAAAGGCACCAGCUGGGUAGAGGCUGAGCCGAGCAGAUGAGAUCAAGAAUCUGGAGAGACCCUGGAGUCCCCCACAGGGCACCAUCUCACCAUUCCUGCAGAAACUCAUCCUUGCCAAGCAUCACAGGAGGCUCCACCUCAACCAGCUUCAUCCUGGUCUGUGUUCCAGAUGAUGUGUUGCUUUGGCUCUAGAGCACCUUCCAGUAUUUCUGGAAGUCCAACAAUGCAUAAGCAAUAUUGGGGGAAUGGUUCCCCUUUCCAUCAACCCCGUCCUGCACCAGCCUCAUUCCCCACUUCCCACAGUGCCAAGAACACUGAGCAUGACUAUGAGCUCAUCAUCUCCAUGUCCUGUCUCUUGAGACCUCCUUUGUCUUUCCAUACAAAGCCACAGUGGUUUUGCUUUUUGGGGGCAAAUCCAAGAGAAAGACUUGACAGUGCCAAGAGGAACUGCAGAACACCAGUGAGUUGUGGGGUAUGGAGGGCCAGGGGUGUCUGCUGGACACAUAUGACAUCCCACCAAAGGCUACAGAGGUCCACAGCCACCACCCCCAAUCCUCUUGUGCACGCCAUGGUACAGACAUUAAUGAUGGAAACAGAUAAAACCAGGGCAGGAAUCCUCACUUCCCAGAGGAGCAUACAUCAAGACAGAAGAUCCGGUGUUGCUAUAAUUAGCACCACACAAAGUCCAUACAGUAAUUAACUUUCUCCCUUCCAAGUUAAGAUAUAAUAGCAUGCAGUAAAAUCAGACUCAAGGUGAUAAAAAAGCAGAGAAAAAGCCUGUCAAAUUCAGCACCUGUAACUUGAUAAGGAAUUAAUUAUAGCCUGGUCUAAUACUAUUACUACUAAUAAUAUUAAAUUGCUGUUAAUAUGCUCUUGUGCUCCAAGUGAGGAAAGAUAUUGAGGAAAAUGUCCCAUAUUGAGUCCAAGGAACAGGUUUCUGCCAAACAGAGGCUCCACCAUGCUGGGAUAUAGGUGAGCUACUGCAAUGGGCAGAGCUAGGAGAAGAAAAUCUGGGACAAAAAAAAACCUGGGCUGCUAGGGAGCUGCCCCAAACCUCCUAAUCCUCUGUAACGCGAGCAGGAAACAGCUCUUCCCAUGAGGAACUGUCACUGCCAGCAGCCUUGAGCAUCUCCCAAGGCAACUCCCAGUGUGUGGGGAUGAGGACAGAGAGACAGUAGAGAUUUGAGGCGAGGCUGUGUCCUGCAAAGGGGGAAUAAACUCCAGCAAUGGCAAAACACAGUGACAGUGCUGGCCCCCAAGGGUCUCGUUUUUGCAGAUGCCCUCACAGCUGGGCUCCACCAAGAAGCACCAACUGCAUCCAUAGCCUGUCCAGACCCCAGGGUCAGAAUUCAGCUCCUACAAGUGGUCCCCAACCCUCCUUAUGUUUCCCAUAGAGGUGGCAAGGCAAUUGUGCACAUGCAAUGUGUGGAGCAGCAUAUAAGAUCAUCUUGUCAUGUCAGGAAAGUGAGCAAGUCAUGGGAGAAUCCGACCAGAUCUAAUGUUACAUAUCAGGAUCCAACCUGGACAUCCUCUCUAUCAAUAAAUUCCAACUUUGGCUCCUCACAGAAAAGCAAACAAGUUCCUGAAGAAGCCCUGUGUGGCUGGGCAGAGGGAGGAUAUCUCCUCAGCAGCUCUGAUUUUUACUUCUCUCUAGUUUUCCUAGGUGGAAAAAACAUGCUGGAAGUGUCCUACCAGCUCUACGUGCCACUAAGUCUUCCUGGCAAAAGCUUAAGGUAUUUUUGCCAUACAAGAAGAACACAGGGCCUGUCUUGGUGGUACAUGUGAGAUCACAAUUGCUUUAUUUUGCUCACCCCACUGCUCUGCCAUAAAGUCAUCCAGUAUUCUGCCUCUGCCUGGCAGCUCAUGCACUCAAAUCCAAGGGGGAAUGCACGAGGUACACAUCAUCUGAAGAGCACCUGAAGUCUGCAUGGCCCUUUUGAG
This is an RNA transcript of Pyrgilauda ruficollis (rufous-necked snowfinch), 3186 nucleotides long. It is a transcript of the gene named translation initiation factor IF-2-like, with no coding region annotated. The record is from RefSeq and is a predicted model, not a curated record. Lineage: Eukaryota; Metazoa; Chordata; Aves; Passeriformes; Passeridae. The transcript is spliced from 3 exons.